RNAcentral lists this ribosomal RNA (466 nucleotides) under uncultured bacterium. RNAcentral's name for it is "bacterial SSU rRNA". It matches the Rfam family "Bacterial small subunit ribosomal RNA", at positions 330 to 793 of the family's 1533-position model. The record is from RNAcentral.
GCCAGACUCCUACGGGAGGCAGCAGUGAGGAAUAUUGGUCAAUGGGCGAGAGCCUGAACCAGCCAAGUCGCGUGAAGGAUGACGGCCCUACGGGUUGUAAACUUCUUUUGUCAGGGAGCAAUUGAGUCCACGUGUGGGCUUAGCGAGAGUACCUGAAGAAAAAGCAUCGGCUAACUCCGUGCCAGCAGCCGCGGUAAUACGGAGGAUGCGAGCGUUAUCCGGAUUUAUUGGGUUUAAAGGGUACGUAGGCGGGCUGUUAAGUCAGCGGUCAAAUGUCGGGGCUCAACCCCGGCCUGCCGUUGAAACUGGCGGCCUCGAGUGGGCGAGAAGUAUGCGGAAUGCGCAGUGUAGCGGUGAAAUGCUUAGAUAUCGCGCAGAACUCCGAUUGCGAAGGCAGCAUGCCGGCUCCACACUGACGCUGAGGCACGAAAGCGUGGGUAUCGAACAGGAUUAGAUACCCCCGUAU